AGAGCUCAUGGAAGUUUGGGAUUUGGCUUAAUAUGAUCUCUAUAAUGCCAAAGAUGAUCAUAAAGUUGUUGUUUUUGACAUGGCAGCCGACGUUCUGGCCAUCCUUGUGAAAGCAAUCUGAUCUUUUUAUUGCCCUGGUUAAUCAAAGGUACACAAGAUUUAAACCAGGAGAUAUAUAUUCCAUCAAAAACAUCAGCUUUAGCAUAUAAAUCAUAAAUCCUUACGCCAUACUAAUAGCUGAAGUGAUUGAAUAUCCAAUUGUUAUCCCUACAAGAUUCAUAUAUUGUGCUAAUCCACAAAACUUGUUAUUGAUUCCUCCUGUUAGAAAGAAAAAAACCUAGAAAUCAUUAGCAUUGGGGUUCCAUGUCCUUGAAAGAACCGGUAGUCAUUCAUGUCGGACACUUGGAUAUGGAGAUAUGAUUUUCAAAAAUCCUCUAAAUACAUAAAAAAAUCUAACAUCUGACAGUCACACCCCAAAUGGAGUAAGGUAGGUUUAAGGUAGUAGAGUGGAUUUUAGUCACCUAAGUUAGAUUUUACAGCAUCCAUGUAACAGCUACAUCUUUUUCCUGAAACAGGGUCCCUGCAACAAUCAGCCAGUAGCGUGGAUGUAAACCAAGUGAUGAUAGAGAAGAUUACAAGGGCAAUGGGACCAGCAAUCCACCCUAACUGAGCAAUGGCCCAUGAAAGAGAUAAGACCCCUGAGCCUAUGACUGCUGUUAUUAUAUGUGCACUUGCAGUCACCCAAGUUCCUGCAACAAAAAAACACAGGUUUUUAACUUAAAAAAUAAAAAUAAAAAUAAAAAAUAAAAAAACUGAUGAAAUUUGAAACCUCUCUUUGCAGAAGAAAAAAAAAAACCCAGAGUUGGAUAUGGCUUGCCUGCUCUUUUUGAGCUACCAUCAUCACCAUAUCGGUUGCUAGCUUCCAGUUCCAUGGCAUGUAAAGAUUGAUCCUUGCUUUCUCUCUGUACUUGAAAGAUGUUAGAUUUGUGUCAAAUUAAAGCCAAACUCCUUAAAACUUUAACUCUCAACCUAGACUGUUACGAAUGGGAAGAUUCUCUCAAAUAAAUGUAAAAUCACCCUAUUUGGCAAUUCCAAACUAAGUUCCUUUAUUAUUCCAAUACCAACUCAGAAAAUUAAUCUAAUUAAGGUAGCUAUUUAUAAUUCUAUAUAUGCACAAAAUUUAGUAAAUCUGUCCUUUUUUUAUUAGAAAUAGGUAAUUUAUGUUUCAAUUUUUUGGAUAAAAUUAUCGUUGAUAAUGUAGUAACCUUCCUAUUAC
RNAcentral lists this long non-coding RNA (1276 nucleotides) under Gossypium barbadense (sea-island cotton). RNAcentral's name for it is "long non-coding RNA (GBAR_LNC012165)". The record is from RNAcentral. Lineage: Eukaryota; Viridiplantae; Streptophyta; Magnoliopsida; Malvales; Malvaceae.